RNAcentral lists this ribosomal RNA (452 nucleotides) under uncultured bacterium. RNAcentral's name for it is "bacterial SSU rRNA". It matches the Rfam family "Bacterial small subunit ribosomal RNA", at positions 29 to 526 of the family's 1533-position model. The record is from RNAcentral.
AGCGGACGCUGGCGGCAGGCCUAACACAUGCAAGUCGAGCGCCGUAGCAAUACGGAGCGGCAGACGGGAGAGUAACACGUGGGAACGUGCCCUUCAGUUCGGAACAACCCAGGGAAACUUGGGCUAAUACCGGAUAAGCCCUUACGGGGAAAGAUUUAUCGCUGAAGGAGCGGCCCGCGUCUGAUUAGCUUGUUGGUGAGGUAACGGCUCACCAAGGCGACGAUCAGUAGCUGGUCGAGAGGAUGAUCAGCCUCACUGGGACUGAGACACGGCCCAGACUCCUACGGGAGGCAGCAGUGGGGAAUAUUGGACAAUGGGCGCAAGCCUGAUCCAGCCAUGCCGCGUGGAUGAUGAAGGCCCUAGGGUUGUAAAGUCCUUUCGGCGGGGAAGAUAAUGACGGUACCCGCAGAAGAAGCCCCGGCUAACUUCGUGCCAGCAGCCGCCGCUGUAAC